UACGUAGGGGGCUAGCGUUGUCCGGAAUUAUUGGGCGUAAAGAGCUCGUAGGCGGUUUGUCGCGUCUGCUGUGAAAACUCGGGGCUUAACUCCGGGCCUGCAGUGGGUACGGGCAGACUAGAGUGCGGUAGGGGAGACUGGAAUUCCUGGUGUAGCGGUGAAAUGCGCAGAUAUCAGGAGGAACACCGGUGGCGAAGGCGGGUCUCUGGGCCGUAACUGACGCUGAGGAGCGAAAGCGUGGGGAGCGAACAGG
Molecule: ribosomal RNA, 253 nt
Filed under: uncultured bacterium
Lineage: Bacteria
Description: partial 16S ribosomal RNA
Rfam family: Bacterial small subunit ribosomal RNA
Source: RNAcentral